ACCAUGACCACAAGAAAUGAAGUUCAUGUUUGUCCUGCAAUAAAACUGGCCACACAUCAAGAGGAAAAUGCACAGAGAAAAAAAAAAAUAGACUUCUUAAAGGAAAAAGGAGCCUGUUUUGGAUGCUCGAAAACAGAGCACAUGAGUAAAGACUGCGAAAGGGGUGUACCGGUAACUUGUGGUGUGUGCAAUCAGAGUCAUUCUGAAAUACCUCAUGUUGGACAAAAGAACAAAGAAAAGAAACCAGAACAUACAGAACAAAGUAAUGCUGUUCUCUCACCUCAUAUAUAUGGGCUUAUUUGGGCCGGAGAUGAAAACAGCUCCUCCAUUCUACCAGGACAAGUAAAGAGCUACAACGGACUCAGUGUUGCAAGGCUUCAGAGAUGACAGGGUGAGACACGCAGCAAAGGGCCACAGGCCGGGACUCAAACCUGGGGCCCCAGCAGCGAGGACGAAGCCAUCUGUUUCCAAGAUGUCAGGGAAGAAGCAAAAAGACCUGCUUUGAUUCUGGGCAGAGGAAGGUCAGCCACCACCUGCCAGCUUGCCAGGGAUGCUGGGUUAAAGUCUGGAUCAUAUGCUGGCCACCUCAAUAUUUUUUAUUUCUUUUUGGAUCUGAAAUGUCUUCACAAAGUCUAGCCACAUGUUCAAUGAAAAACACACCCACUGGCUCCGGAAAUCAAGUAAGUCCUUAAUCACAGAGGGGCAGCUGGCUGGCAGUUGGCUUCAUAUUCAGGGUUACACCAAAGAAUUAAUGGUCUUAAUUGGGCUGCUAAAUAAAAAUCCCUCAUUUUUUUACAUUAUGUCUGCUAGCCUGGCAAAAACGACAAAUGCGUAUGAACAUUCUUUCUAGUCACCAAUUUACAGAUAUUAUUUCAUGCAGAGUGAAGACAGAGAGGGAGACAGCAUGAGGAGGCCACCAGGACAGGGAGAGUAGCUGGCAUACCGGUGAAAGCAAAUAUUGAUGGUUAAGAACAAAUAUUGGUCACAACAGUCUAAUUCUACUGUUUUAAUUUAAAAUGAGACAUUACUCUUAAUCUGGCUUCAAACAUUCACAUUUUUUUCAUCAGCGACUGAAGGUCCCUUCCCCCCAGGUCUCUCUCCAAACCUUCAGUGAAACUUGGCAGCCCUGUGAUGUGUGCCAGUGGUAAACAGAAAGAGGAUAGUAAAAUUACAAAAUACAGUAAAGACCUGAGUGCAAAUAAGUUAGAUAAAUGAAAUAUUUCAUAAUAUUUUCAUCAGGGGAAUGGAGUAAAUAAUAAAGAAAAUUCUAAUCAUGAUUGAUGAUUAUUGUUUUAUAUACAUAUUUGUACAUAUAUGUGCUAUUAACGUUUCCCUGUGAGUCUCUUGAUGAAAUAGUUCCAUGCCUUAAGUCGGAAAUAAGUCAUUACCAAAUGCAGGUAAUCAUAAUGAUCCACGGUGGUUUUAAUGCCUGAACAAGAAACAAGCCUGAGACACUGUGAUUGACAAAAAAGGGAAAGAGGUCUUACAACUCUCCAGAAGACUCUGUCAAGGUGAGUCUCAAUGUCAUUGUGUGACAGUUGGCAGCCCUGUUUCAAAUCGUAAUACUGACAAUAAUCCCCCUUUUUUAUGAAAUGUAUCAGUAACCUAAUUACUUCUUUCUUCUGUAAUUGUCUGUAUUUUAAAAUAUUUUUGAAUCCUAACUGUGUAGUACAGUUCUAUGUAUUUCAUUACUCCCCAAGCCAGGUUGUAUGCCAUCUACUGGCAACAGGAAGUAAGUAUUGUGUGAUAAACAUUAUUCAGUUAACGCAAAAUUUACAGGAACAGAGAGCCACAGAGUGGACAAAACAAGUGCCAUUCAACUCCUUCACACAGUGUACAAUCUUUAUCAAAAAUGUAUAUGUAUGACAGGCAACUGGUACAUUGACUGCUUCUUUAAUAACUUUACACCCCUUAGUGUAAAGGACACUAAGUAACUCUAUCAACUCUCUAAACAUCUCUAAACACACUCUAAACAUUUUCAAAUUCAAAGAUUUUCAAACUUUUAGGAUGAUGUCAUAUGUAAUGAAAAACCAUUGCAUUACAUUCGAAACAAAUCAAAAUCAGUCAAACUGGACUGUUUUGACAGUCAUGUGUCCAGGAGCCAGUCCCCCUGACGCACAGGGGGUGAGAUCGUCCAUUCAUUCAUUUAAGGUAAAAAAAAAAUAAAAAUAAAAAAGUCAUAUAAUGUUAGUAUAAUAUACUUAUUGGAAUUGAGAUAACUGUCCAUGUUAAAGGUAGAUGUGCUUUAAAGUAUUUUUUAAUUUAUAGGAUAGUACUUUCGAUUGAUGUACAUUUUGCCCUAUGAAGAUUAGGCUGUCCUGCUAUUGGGUAGUCUGAGUUGGCAGGUAGAUUGUAGACUAUAAUUAUGGUUGAAGGAAGGUCCAUCAUUCAUACAUAUUUCUUUUUAAAAAUUAUUUUAAUCUGGUCAUGUCCAUGGAAAAGAACUUUUUCUUUUACUUACUACUCCUUGCCUCAUUGGAUGUUGAACCAAAGGGGUGGUGUUAACCUACAGCAGUGCUACAGGACAGUGAAUGUGAACAACACAAGUCAGGACCAUCAUCAUUCGGAGGACCAGAACGAACACAGUCUUAUUACAUGAUGCACUAUACAACUCUGUAUAAAGAUGGAAAUUGAUAAAGUCCACUACAUUGGAAACCGCAGGAGUAAAGCUUACUGAAUGUAAAACAGUAGCACCACCCAG
Molecule: long non-coding RNA, 2701 nt
Organism: Acanthopagrus latus (yellowfin seabream)
Lineage: Eukaryota; Metazoa; Chordata; Actinopteri; Spariformes; Sparidae
Exons: 3
Source: RefSeq, a predicted model, not a curated record